UGUAUGAACGAUGUGCUGAAGUAGAAAUGUUAUGUAUCUGUGACAGCCACUUUGCAAGAACGACUGGCUCCCAUGAUGACAUUUCCAAAGAUGAUUUUUCCGGAGAUGACAUCUCUUCGGAUGCAACUUCAAGAAAUAGUACUUCUGGGACCUCUGAGUGAUGGUGAGAGAUCCUUCAUGCUGAGAUGUACUCAGAACAUCGUAAAGUCCCCAGCUGUCUCUUUGGAGGAUAUUUUCAUGGAAGAAGAAAGUAUUGAUGAUGCCCAUUCGUCUUCGGAGGAUGGUGAAGAAGAAAAUCCCGGAUUUCGAAACCGAAUAAAAACAAUGAUGUUUUCGAUGGUGAUGUUGGCAAUUCCGAUCCUUUGAGCACUUUAGAGACCACUCCAUGUCAUCUUGUUUCUGUCAGUCGUAGAAACAUCACUUCUGAAACCCUGGC
Molecule: long non-coding RNA, 436 nt
Organism: Papaver somniferum (opium poppy)
Lineage: Eukaryota; Viridiplantae; Streptophyta; Magnoliopsida; Ranunculales; Papaveraceae
Exons: 3
Source: RefSeq, a predicted model, not a curated record